This 270-nucleotide long non-coding RNA is filed under the name Salvia miltiorrhiza (redroot sage). RNAcentral's name for it is "long non-coding RNA (SMIL_LNC010075)". The record is from RNAcentral. Lineage: Eukaryota; Viridiplantae; Streptophyta; Magnoliopsida; Lamiales; Lamiaceae.
AUUGAUUGUACCUUACGCACUCUAUAGCGAUUGCCGAUUGGUUUAUUCGAAGGUUGACAUAGAUUAGCCUACUUCUGCUGAAUUUAAAAUUAAAAUUUAUUGAAGUAAAAAAAAAUCUAAAAAUUCAUUAAUAUCACAUAAACGCUAAUUAAAGACUGAGCAUCAUCAAAACCAUUUCAAUGAAAAUUCAGUAAAAAAAAUACUAGCAAAGGAAAAAAAAGUACUCGUCUAUCAGAAGAGAGAAAAGAAAACAAACAAAAACAAAACGAG